Molecule: long non-coding RNA, 208 nt
Organism: Centruroides sculpturatus (bark scorpion)
Lineage: Eukaryota; Metazoa; Arthropoda; Arachnida; Scorpiones; Buthidae
Exons: 2
Source: RefSeq, a predicted model, not a curated record
UAUAUUAUAAUUUAAAUUAUAUAUAAAAGAUAAUUUGAUAUUUGUUUAUAUAUAUAUAAAAGUAAAAAAAAAACAAUUUUUCAGUUUUAUGAUUUAGAAGAAUUAUUUAGAACAGGUGGAAGAGUUCCAGAUACAAAUUAUAUAUUUCUUGGUGACUUUGUAGAUAGAGGUUAUUAUAGUUUAGAAACUUUUACACGAUUAUUGACAU